Manis javanica (Malayan pangolin) is the source of this 5096-nucleotide non-coding RNA. Lineage: Eukaryota; Metazoa; Chordata; Mammalia; Pholidota; Manidae. The record is from RefSeq and is a predicted model, not a curated record.
GGCUCCUCCCCACCUCCGCUCCCGUACUCAGACCGGCCUGCCUGCCUCACCUGUGUCGGGUUUCCCUCUGCGGUCCCCAGUCCCCGAGCUUGUUCCAGCUCAGCAGGUAUCCCCUGACCUGAACUCCUUUCAUGUUUUAUAUUUUAGCAAAUCCUGACUUUUUGUAAAAGAGAAAUUUGAGAAGAAAACACACCCAUAAUUCUUUUACUGUACAAAUUCUUGUUCCCAUUCGCUCGCAUCUACUACCAUUUCCAUUACUAAUGUGAAGUUUUACGUGGUCUCUGCCCUAGUGCGCAUAUCAAAUUAUUUUUACAUCUACUCGGCACUAUUUUCUCAAGAUCUAGGUCUCUGAAAACGACUAUUGUAUAAACUGCAUCAUAUCCCAGCACCCUUGGGAGCCAUCGUUCACCUUCCAUCCCGCAGGUGCAGACAAGGUUCUUCUCCCCAGGUGUGAGCACUCACAGGUAAAGCCACCAGGGUCUCCAGGAACGCGAGCCUGCCUUUUGUGUUGUUUACUAAGCUUUCCUUUGUUUCUACAGUUGAUUUCCUCGUGGGGUCCAUGGGGAUGAAUAGCUUUGUGGGUCUUGAUUCCCAAAGAGACCGUGCAGAUCUGCUACGACACCUGUGGCACCUGGGUGGGUUUCCCAAGGACAGAGCUGGACGGAGCCAGGUGACAGGCUUAGAACAGCUGCUCCAGAUGGGGGCUGACACCCACGUGUGGGGAGGAGCCAGGGGCUGACUGGGGCCUCCAGACCCUUCCAGAGAAGACCUGUUCCUCCGGGCCUGGGGACAUGGAUGAGCUCACAGUGGUGCCUUCUGUCUUCAGAGCGCUAACUCCGGAGAGACUCAGGAGGAAACAGACUAAGACUCUCCUGGAAGUUACAGGGAAUGCAUGCGCAGCUGGGGAGCAGGAGGUAUGUCCCCAGUCCGUGGGGGUGCCUGGCUGGUGUGAGUGCCCCAGUGUGUUUGGAAAGGGGGCAGUUUAACCUUUUGUCCUUUAUAGUUGACUUCCAAGGCAGGUUUUGGGUCCGUACCAAGAGCUACCUAAACAGUUGCUUCUGCCCAUCUGCUGUGUCCGCUGGGACAUGGGCAUGGAUGUCAGCCUGCUGUCACACCUGCCUUGCAUUUGUGUCCAUUCACAGUUCUCAGUGUAGUUCCUGCUGGUGCAAAGAGUGGAUGUGGAGCUGUACAUAUAUGUGAGUACACAAACCAGUGCAUGGACAUACAUAUGGACAUACAUGCACACAUGUGUGUACACACAGGCACAUGCCCAGGUGUGGAAAGGCAUGUGCAGGUGUGCAUGUAUAUCUUCCCAGGCACUCAGUAACACUCUGCCCUAAUUCCCUGGGGCCAUGCAGUUGACAGCUGGCUGGUAAGUCCUGGGGAGCCCGUCCUUGGCUGGCUCAUCCUGCUGCUGUGAUAGAGUAGCUCUUAUACUAGAUGAACAGGAGCUGAACUGCCUACUGGGGAUUCUCAGGGUUUCCUCUGGUCCACCAGGAAGAUGGAAGCAAUGAGACAAUCUCAUACAACAGUGAUGCCUAAAGUUUGCAUAAUCUUUCAUGUCAUUCAAAAUAACAUAAAAAUAGUAACACAGAAGAUUAAAGGGCUAGCCCAAAGUCACACAGCAACUCAGCAAUACAGCUGCUCCCAGGAAGCCUGCCCUCACUGCACAAUUUGACUGGCCAGCUUUCAGAGAACUUCUGACUUCAACAGAAGCCCAGGGAAACACACCUUGUGCCAGUGAAUUUCUCCAUAUUCCAGGAAAUGAUGCACAGCCACGGGCUCAGCAGCCUCCCAGGUAGGGUGUGGCAUGUACCCCCAGAGCCUGAGGGUGGGUGACCUGGCUGUCAGUUCCAACAGUGGGCUCGAGGGAUAAGGGGAGGUGAGAGGGCCCAGGGGUCUUGCUUUGAAACCAGCAUCAGCCACUCAAGAUGGACAGGGAGGUGGUGCCAGGUGGGUUUAGGGGAAGACAAAAGCCCGCGGUCCAUGCGGGGCUGAGAGUCUAUGACGUGACCUCAGUGAAAACUGCUCUGCUUUGUGCUUUGUGCCCGGCCAACCUGCUGUCUGACUCCACAACCACCACGCCAGAACAGCACAUCGAGAGCACACACGACCACACGCGCCUGGGCCCAGCCAGCCUCAUGGGCAGUGCCCAGUGCUCUGUCUCCACUGGGCUCUCUGGGAGGGCCGCUCCCUGAGGGCUCACAGGCAGACGUGGUCCAGGGGAGGGUGGGCCUGAGUGGCCUCCAGCAGCAUGGGCUGGGUACUCCCGGGAGUGUCCAGGGCCUGACACUGUCACCACGUUAGCUCCUGCCUUUCCUCCUCGGGACAGGGAGGCCCCGCCUGAGGCCCCAUGGCUACUAGACACCCCUGCUAUGCUGCCUUCACUGAUUUCCUCACUUUCAGAACCUCUCCACUUCCAGGGCACAGCUCAGCCAUCCCGUGCAGGCUCCUCUAACAUGGCCAUGCCUCCCGUGGGCAGGAACCCUGUUCUGAGCACCUUUGGGCAUGCCACACUUCACACACCUGCUCUCCAGGCCUGCUUAGCUUGUCAUUUCCUCCUGUGCCCAGAAGGGGAUACUGAACCUUUGUGCCACAGAGCUGGGCUGUGGGGUCUGGGGUCCUCUUACUGCCCAGGAUUCCAGGUAGCCUCAGAGAAAUGCUAAGGUUGGCCGUCCCACAUGCCACGCACCUGUGCCAUGUUCCCUCCAUCCAUCCACAGCGGAACCUGCAGCCCCAGGCCAGUACAGGGCUGGUACACAGGUGGCAGCAGAGGGAUGUGAGUAGAGCCCUGGCAGAGGGGCAGUGGGUACAUGGGCACACGCCUGAGUGUGAAUCCCAGCAGCAUUAUUAUGACCAGAUUUUAGAAAUGGGCAUAUUUGUUGGGAUGAAACCCUCACAUUGCUCCUCAUUGUAACUGUGAAGAUUCUGAGGAUGGGGGAACCAAUGCUCUUCCCCUACACAAAGGUCAGCCAGUGAAGAAGGGGCUGCCACUCACCCUCCUCACAGCCUGGAUCCACCUUGUGGGGUCUCUGCUUCUACCCCUCUUGCUGGGGAUGGUGCCCACCUGUGGGUGUCAUGGUGAUGAAACCCGGUAGGGAGCUCCUGGCACCAACACACAGCAUGUGCUCAGCAACACUAACUCCCAGGUCCCCGAGCCCCAGGCCUCCAUGGCCCUGGCCCCCACAGUCCCUCUGCUGGCAUCUUUCCCAGGCUUGGGUCCCCCUCCAGCACUGCUGGUCUCAGCUCCGUUGUGAAGAGGCCAGGCCAAACCGCACCGAAAUGAAGAUGGUGGGCACCCGAACAGUCAGAGAGAGUGGGGAGGCAGGAGCCAGAGGAGCAGGGAGAAUCAGUCCCUGCAAGGAGGGGUCCCAGGAGCAGGGACACUAGAAAGGUCUUGAAGCAUGUGUAGGAGCUCACAGGAAGAGGGCCAGAGGGUCCCCAGGGAGGAGUGGGUCUGCUCUGGCAUCCUGCUAGGCUGCUUUCCUGAAGCUCUUGCACCAGUAGUUCAGCAAAUCCACCCUUUAUGGUUUUUCUGUUUCUAGUGGUCAGACCUGCAGGGUUCUUAGGCUUUCAGAAAUAUGGUGCUUUAAAACCUGUGUCCCAGAUCAGUGUCCUCCAGAGAGCAGGCCUGUCUGUGUGGACUGGCCUUCUGUGUGGACGAGGGAGAUCCUGGCUGUGGUGCUGAGAGGGCCCAGCCCCAGACCACACAGGGAAUGCCACCCGCAGCUCACCCCAGGGAGGGAAGGGGCAGGGAGAGAAGUAGGACAGAUCCCCAGGUCAGGGGCAAACCCAAGUGGCCCGAGGGGCUCCCCUAAGCACACUGUCCCUCUUCACUCUGCCGAGGCUCCACGGAGUCCUGAGUCAGGAGCACUGGGAAGGCCCCGGUUCCAAUGCCUGCAUGUGAGUGCCCCCCUCCAGCCUGGGCCCUGGGUUUCUGAGGAGCAGGCACAGCUCUUGAUAUGAGAUCCAGAGGGAGCAGGGUUUGACCUGGAAAACCAAUGCUUCUCAUGCACGCAGCACCCUGGGCCCAAGGGGCCUCAUCCUUGGCUGGUGACCCUUACUCCUUGGCCUUGGUGGUCCCUGGGAGGUUCCAGGGUGGUCUCCUCGCCGUGGCAGGAAUGGCCAGAGGCUUGCAGAUGGUGCGGGGUGGGCGGCGGUCCUGUUCCGGGGUGAGGCACAGGCAGGGGUGCAGGGCGGCAGGGUCGGGGUGUGGCCCACGGUGCUCUCAUUCUGCAGGAGACUCCUCCAGGAGAGCCUUUUGGGUUCCCCCCCCCGACUCUCAGCCUCCUUGUUACCCUGUCCUGCUGUCCUUGGUCUGAGUGCUUCCAUCCCUCAUGCUGUUUACAUAGUGGGUGAUCAGGAUGCGGCCAGUCAGGCAGGGCCAGUCCCUUCUAAUUUAUGGUGGAUUUGGACCCUGGGAUGAGAUUUGACCCCAGAACAUUUCUUGCACCACUUCUGCAACAAACUGAGGGCUUGUGUGCCCCACAGCAGAUACUGAAGCCUGAUGGGGGGCCAUUGGGAAGUGCCUGAGUCGGGAGGGUGGAGCCUCCGUGAGUGGGAUCGGUGCCCUUACGUGAGAGCCCAGAGAGCUCUUUUGUCCCUUGGGCCAUGUGAGGACACGGUGAGUAGAUAACCUUCUAGUGACCAGGUCCCAGGCUCCAACCAGACACCAGAUUUGCCAUAUCUCAGAUGCCCAGCCUCCCAACUGAGAAGUGAACACUGGCUGUUCAGACCGCCCUGCCUCUGGUGUUUGAAAUCAGCCAUGACCCCACACUCCCUUUGUUCUCUGUCCAGCAACACCAGAAUGCCCCUGCACUGGGCUCGCGGGUGGGCUGGGCCCUGGGCCCUGGUCUGCUGUCCUGCCCGGCCCCCUCUGGGGCCUCCAUGGUCAGGGGCAACAUUAGAGUCCAAACGCCCCUUGGGUGCCUGGGUUUGAAAGCUCCAGGACCCAGAGGACCUGCCUGGGAGUUUGGGAAUGAGCACACCCCAGAACAGCCCUGGCCUCUGUGCCCUGUCGUGUUGGCUCUGUGUGGGCCCUGAGCCCACAGCAAGGACAACUCUGGAGCCCAGGGGCAGCUGUCUGGGCAGGCCAU